Molecule: non-coding RNA, 736 nt
Organism: Pygocentrus nattereri (red-bellied piranha)
Lineage: Eukaryota; Metazoa; Chordata; Actinopteri; Characiformes; Serrasalmidae
Source: the annotation of a RefSeq genome assembly
GGCCUGGUGUGAAAGGGCGGGUUGACUCUACAGGUUUUCUUUCACCUACUUCCAUACAUCCCCCAUAACAAUGCAUUUUAGUUCCAUCCAUGACAUCAUGAUGCAAAUCCAGUGUGUUGUGGCUCCAUCCAGUACUUAUGAGCUGCUGAGCUGAGUGGAGCAGUAGAGGCUCAUCAACACUCACCAUGAAGACCACGCUCUCCUUACUACUGAUACUACUCAGCUUCACUGCAGGUGUGAAAUGUGAAAGUAUGGAAUCAUUAGAAACUGCAGUUCAGAAAAAACCUGGAGAAACUCUGAGUCUCUCCUGUAGAGGAUCUGGAUUUACUUUUAGCAGCUACAACAUGAACUGGAUCAGACAACAGGCUGGAAAACCACUGGAGUGGAUGGGAUGGAUUCGUUAUGACGGAGGUGACAAUGGCUACUCAAAGUUAUUUCAAGGCCGAACUGAAAUCACCAGAGACAAUUCCAACAGCAUGGUGUAUCUGAAACUGUCUGGUGUGACAGUCGAGGACUCAGCUGUGUAUUACUGUGCAAGAAACUCACAGUGAUAAAUAUCUGUGGAAACACUGUACAAAAACAUGGAGCUGCUGUUAGAUGAUUAUUUUCAUGAGAGGAUGUUGUUCAAAGUUUUGGCUUCAGCAGGUGGCAAAGAAGGUUUAUCAGAACAAACCCAAGAAGAUUAAGAUCGAACAAACACAGGGGGGCAGUCGAGAAUAAGAAAUGAAGUGCAGAA